This 252-nucleotide ribosomal RNA is filed under the name uncultured bacterium. RNAcentral's name for it is "partial 16S ribosomal RNA". It matches the Rfam family "Bacterial small subunit ribosomal RNA", at positions 524 to 776 of the family's 1533-position model. The record is from RNAcentral.
UACAGAGGGUGCAAGCGUUAAUCGGAAUUACUGGGCGUAAAGCGUGCGCAGACGGUUGCGUAAGUCAGAUGUGAAAGCCCCGGGCUCAACCUGGGAAUUGCAUUUGAGACUGCGUGGCUAGGGUGCGGAAGAGGGAAGCGGAAUUUCCGGUGUAGCGGUGAAAUGCGUAGAUAUCGGAAGGAACACCAGUGGCGAAAGCGGCUUCCUGGUCCAGCACCGACGUCAGGCACGAAAGCGUGGGGAGCAAACAGG